Molecule: unclassified non-coding RNA, 330 nt
Filed under: soil metagenome
Description: partial contains 5.8S ribosomal RNA, internal transcribed spacer 2, and large subunit ribosomal RNA
Rfam family: 5.8S ribosomal RNA (bases 1-120)
Source: RNAcentral
GAUGAAGAACGUAGCGAAAUGCGAUAAGUAGUGUGAAUUGCAGAAUUCAGUGAAUCAUCGAAUCUUUGAACGCACAUUGCGCCCCUUGGUAUUCCAUGGGGCAUGCCUGUUCGAGCGUCAUAUGUACCUUCAAGCUCUGCUUGGUGUUGGGCGUUUGUCAGUUUGACUCGCCUUAAAGUAAUUGGCAGCCGGCCUACUGGUUUCGGAGCGCAGCACAAGUCGCACUCUCUAUCAGCAAAGGUCUAGCAUCCAUUAAGCCUUUUUUUCAACUUUUGACCUCGGAUCAGGUAGGGAUACCCGCUGAACUUAAGCAUAUCAAUAAGCGGAGGA